UCUUAGACAAUGGGCGCAAGCCUGAUCUAGCGAUGCCGCGUGAGUGACGAAGGUCUUAGGAUCGUAAAGCUCUUUCGCCUGUGAUGAUAAUGACAGUAGCAGGUAAAGAAACCCCGGCUAACUCCGUGCCAGCAGCCGCGGUAAUACGGAGGGGGUUAGCGUUGUUCGGAAUUACUGGGCGUAAAGCGCACGUAGGCGGAUUAGUCAGUCAGAGGUGAAAUCCCAGGGCUCAACCCUGGAACUGCCUUUGAUACUGCUAGUCUUGAGUUCGAGAGAGGUAAGUGGAAUUCCGAGUGUAGAGGUGAAAUUCGUAGAUAUUCGGAGGAACACCAGUGGCGAAGGCGACUUACUGGCUCGAUACUGACGCUGAGGUGCGAAAGCGUGGGGAGCAAAC
This 394-nucleotide ribosomal RNA is filed under the name uncultured bacterium. Its description in RNAcentral is "bacterial SSU rRNA". It matches the Rfam family "Bacterial small subunit ribosomal RNA", at positions 362 to 773 of the family's 1533-position model. The record is from RNAcentral.